Long non-coding RNA from Homo sapiens (human), 11397 nucleotides. RefSeq lists it as uncharacterized. The record is from RefSeq and is a predicted model, not a curated record. The transcript has 2 exons. NCBI's taxonomy places the organism in Eukaryota, Metazoa, Chordata, Mammalia, Primates, Hominidae.
CUGGUUGUGAGGCAGAGAGGGCCUCUCCAUACCAGACUCUCUGCACAGGAAGAGUGGGGCAGGUCAAGCUGCCGAUCCAGGGGGAAAAAAUACAAUGUUCAUCACCUUAAAGGCCGACAAAGCAUUUGGCAAAAUUCAACAUUUCUUCAUAGAAUCACUUCAUAAAAUAUAAGUAAAUGAAUAGUUCCUUAAUAUGAAUACCAAAUGUAUGUAUCUUAGUUAAAAAGUCUGAAUUAUGCUUAGCAGGGAAACUAUGGAGGCAUUUCUGUCACAGUUAUGAACACAUCCAGGAUGACAAUGAUUACUUUUUAAUAUUGAACUAAAGUACAGACAGAUUAUGACAACAACUAGGUGGGAAGUGAGGGAAACUAGGAAAAAGCCACAUAUCUUGAUUGUAGAGUUGCAUCAGAAUUAGACCUUGUUCAAGAUUAUAUACACGUGCUUAAGAAAAUACCCUAAUAUGAGAACAACAAAAGAUACUGCAGCAAUAAAUCUAAUUCUUAAAAGGUGAAAGAAGCUGAGUGCCGUGGCUUAUGCCUUAUAAUCCCAUCACUUUGGAAGGCCAGGUGGGUGGAUCACUUGAGGCCAGGAGUUGGAGACCAGCUUGGCCCACAUGGUAAAACUCUGUCUCCACUAAAAAUACAAAAAAAUUUGUGGUGGUGCGCACCUGUAAUUCUAGCUACUCAGGAAGCUGAAGCAUGAGAAUUGUUUGAACCCAGGAGGCGGAGGUUGCAGUGAACUGAGAUCAGGCCACUACACUCCAGCCUGGGCAACAGAGCGAGUCUGUCUGAGUACAUAAAUAAAUAAAUUAAAUUAAAUUAAAAAGGUGAAAGAAUAACAUCCUUUUACAGAUGAUCUACUAGAGCAAAGAGAAGUAUGUUUUAGGAAUUUUUUGUUUUAUAUUAUUCAAAAAUCAGGAAAACAUAGACUCUGCAAUACAGAUGAUCCAAGCUGAGAAAAGACAACAGAUUGAGCUGAAAACUGAUUUACUGAGAUCAGCUGUGAUAAAAGAAAGCAAAAUGAAAUAGAAAGAGAUUGAAUUAAUUAAAAUUAAAUAAAUUAAAAUUUUCAGUAGAAGCACUGAACUGUAGACUUAAAACUGAAGAAAGUGAAAUCGGUCAUGUAGGAAAACUAACAUAAGAAGCUCUGCCAGAAUACAGAAAUAGAAUAAUAGAAUGAUGAAGAAAGGAAAAAGUCCUUUGGUUAUAAAUGAUAAUUUUGUUCCCUUUGCAGGGAGAGUUUACAGAUCUUGAGGGGCAGUGUCAUCAGUUGUAACACUGGUAAUUGGAGACAGAUACAGUCGAGCAUUUUAGAAUUUGAAAUAUGCCUUCUGCUUUUCAAAUUACUUGAAAAUCUUUUCUACAAAAGUAGAAAAGAUGAAAGAUCAAAGAAAAAAUAUUUCUUAGAGCAAAAGCUAGAAAACAGCAAAAAAGUAUGAACAAAAAAUGUGAAACAAGAUCAGAUAUUUCACUGACAGGGAAUAUAAAUGGGUUGAGUUCCCUAUUAAAAACGAAAACCUCUUCAGUAUAUGUAAGGCCAUAGCCAAAUGAUCUUUCUGCAGGUAAUAAUGAUAAAUUCUGAGCAAAAUACUCUACACAACUAUGUGAAGGUCCUGGAGAGUAAAAAAAAAAAAAAAAAAAGGCUGGCAGAUUCUUGAGGAAAGACAACACUUGGAAGAAUGUCCAGCAUGGAGAGUUUCCUGUUUUUCAUGAUACCAGCCUCAGGGCAGGGUAAAGUCAGUGCUGCAUUGAUACCUGCUAUUCUCAUAGAAAAUCCAGUCUUUCUGGCCUGAAAAACCAGAUGACAGAGUUUGCGGUAAGAACUACUGCUGGAAAAUGAGAAAUGGAUCCCAGAGAGAACUAGAUUGGUAUAGCCUGAGGUUCUGUGUGUAACCCCUGCCCAAAUCUCAGACUGACUUCUGAACCAUGCAUAUGCAGGGCAGACUAACAGCUACCCAACUAGGGGUAGGUCCAGAACUGAGAUUUGAGUUGCUGCCCAAGAGAAGAGUUUGUAGUUUGAAUCCAAGCAAGAUAAUUGCCUACUAAAGCAAAAAUAUCAACAUUCUUCAGUGAAGAAAAUGAAAUUCACAGUAUAACAUUCACGAGGUCCAGGAUACAAUCCAAAAUUGAAAAUGAGGAAAAUGUGUCCCAUUCUGAAGACAAAAAGCAGUUAACAGAGACUAUCCCCCAAUAUGAACUGGAUUAGCAGACAACUAUUAUAAAGCAGCUGGGGAAGCAAUUGCUGGGAGAGGGUGAGGUAAAGAAAAUAUGUUCAGAAUGAGUGAAAAGACAAGAAAUCUCAGCAGAGAACUGAAAUCAUAAAAAAUUUAAAUUCUAGAACUAUAAAAUAUAAUAUCUUAUAUAAAAAUUCACUUGAUGGGCUUAAUAGCAGAAUGGAGAUAACAGAGGAAAGGUUCAAAUAACUUAAAAUUAUCCCAUGUAAAGAAUAGAAAGAGAAUAAUUAGAAGAAAAGAAACAGAGCAUUAGGAAUGUGAGGAACUGUGCAAGCUUCUAACAUAUUUCCAAUUAGAAUCCCAGAAGACAAAGAGGAGAGAAUGAGGCAGAAAAACUUUUGAAAAAACAGUGACUGAAAAAUUUCCAAAUCUGAAACACAUAAAUUUAUAGAUUCCAGAAACUUAGUGAACUUAAAGCAGAAUAAAUUAAGCACACUUUAGUAAAACUGCUAAAAACCUAAGGUAAAGAGCAAAUCUAGAAAGCAACCAGAGAAAACGUGACACAUUAAAUAUAGAGGUUUUGGGAACAGGCCCCCAAAAUCUGGCCAUAAACUGGCCCAAAACUGGCCAUAAACAAAAUCUCUGCAGCACUGUGACACAUUUGUGAUGGCCAUGAUGCCCACGCUGAAGGUUGUGGGUGUACUGGAAUGAGGGCAAGGAACACCUGGCCCACCCAGGGCGGAAAACCGCUUAAGGCGUUCUUAAACCACAAAUGAUAGCAUGAGUGAUCGAUGCCUUAAGGACAUGUUCUUGCUGCAGAUAACUAGCCAGAGCCCAUCCCUUUAUUUCAGCCCAUCCCUUUGUUUCCCAUAAGGAAUACUUGUAGUUAAUCUAUAAUCCAUAGAAAAAAUGCUUAUCACUGGCUUGCUGUCAAUAAAUAUGUGGGUAAAUCUCUGUUCGAGGCUCUCAGCUCUGAAGGCUGUGAGACCACUGAUUUCCCACUCCACACGCUAUAUUUCUGUACGUGUGUCUUUAAUUUCUCUAGCGCCGCUGGGUUAGGGUCUCCACAAGCGAGCUGGUCUCUGCAUGGAGGAGUGAUGAUUGGGAACUGAUGACUUCUGUUAGAAACUUUGGAGCUCAGAGACAGUGGAACAUCUUUAAAAUGUUGAGAGGAAGAACCAUCAACUUAGAAUCUUAUUCUAGAACUUCCUGCGAGAAUGAAGACAGUAGCUCACACCUGUAAUCCCAGUGCUUUGGGAGGCUGAGGCAGGAGGAUUGCUUGGGGCUAGGAGUUUAAGACCUACCUGAGCAACAUAGUGAGACCCCAUCUCUACAAGAAAUUUAGAAAAAAUUAGCUGGUGUGGUGGCACAUGCCUGCAGUGGGAGCUUCUCAGGAGGCUGAGGUUGGGGAAUCACUUGAGCCCACAAAUUUGAGGCUGCAGUGAGCUAUAAUUGUGCCACUGCACUCUAGCCUGGGCAACAGAAUGAGACUCUGUCUCUCAAAUAAAUAAAUAAAAGAAUGAAGGCAAAAUAAAGACAUUCUAAGAUUAAAAAGAAAAAUGCCUCUCCUGGGCAUGGUGGCUUAUGCCUGUAAUCUCAGCACUUUGGGAGGCCAAGGCGGGUGGAUCACCUGAGGUCAGAAGUUUGAGACCAGCCUGGCCAACAUGGUGAAACCCUGUCUCUACCAAAAAUACAAAAUUAGCUGGGCAUGGUGGCGCAUACCUGUAAUCCCAGCUAUUUGGGGGGCUGGGGCAGGAGAAUCGCUUGAACUUGAGAGGCAGAGGUUGCAGUGAGCCAAGAUAGUGCCAUUGCACUCCAGCUUAGACAACAAGAGCAAAACUCCAUCUCAAAAAAAAAAAGAAAAGAAAAGAAAAGAAAAAUACCUAAGAGAAUUUAUCACCAACAAACUUGUACUACAAGAGAUUCCAAAACAUGUUCUUCAGGUAGAAGGAAAAUAAUGGGUGGGUACUUCAGUGAUGAAGAAGUGAAAUGCAUCAGAAAUGAAAAUGGUGAAUAGUGGGGUAAAUAUAAGCACUAGUUUUUUCUCUUAGUUUCUUUAAAAUGUAAUUGAUUGUUUUACAUAAAACUAUAGUGUUGUCUUAUAGAGUUUAUAGUGUAUGUAGAUGUGAUACAUGUGACACCAGUAGCAGAAAGGGGGAUGUUUAGUUGGUUCUAUACGAAUGCAGUGUUUCUACAUUUUUUUGAAGUGAUAUGAUAUUCUAAGUAGAGCAUGAAAAGCUAAGGAUGUAUAUUGUAAUCAUAGAACAACAACUAAAAUAAAGGCUGAUAGAUUAAAUUAAAAAGGAAUUUUAAAAUGUAUUCAAAUAAUCCAAAAAAUGUAGGCAAAAAGUAAAAGAAGGGACAGAAGGAAAACAAAUAAUAAAAUCAUGGACCUAAAUAUUAAAUGUUAAUGAACAUUCCAAUUAAAAGGUAGAGAUUAUCAGAACAAAUUUAAAAAAUACCAAGAGAUAUACUUUAAAAAUAAAGACACAGAUAGAUCAAAAGCAAUUGUAUGCAAAAAGAUAUAGCAUCCAAACAGUAAUGAUACGAUGGCUAACAUGGAUGUAUUAGUGCCAGAUUAAAUAAACUUCAGGAAAAGCUGGGCUUCUCUUUCACAGCAAAGAUGGAUUCUGAGGUGGAUGGGGAGUUCAGCUUCCCAGGGUGGCUUCCCAAGGUGGCGAAGGCUGUGGCCACACCAUGGUCUCAGAUGCUGAGGCAGGCCUAUGUGACUGCCAGUGGGUAGGCCAUGGUGAGUGGAGAAAACAGGCAGUUGUCCCCUCUGCAUGCCCUGCACAUACACCUGGGCUAUGGGCCCCACCAGCGGAUGUUUGUGCAGGGCUCAGCCUUUCCCUCGUUGGUUUCUGGCAGAACUAGGCCUGUGUCCCUUGUUCCUGGGCCAUAGUGCUGAAGUUUGUCUUCUAGGGAUUAGGUUGUAGAUAAAUCAAGUAUUGUAUGGUGGCUUGUGGAAGACAGUUUUGACUCUAAGAUCAGUUCAACAACCGUUAGCUUCAGCUAUAAUCAUUUAUGAUAUCAAAAAGAAGAAAUAUUUUCAACAUUAAGGAAUUGAUUACAUGAUUUUUAAGUUUUUUUUCUUUCUUGUAUCAAGGGACAAGUCAUAGAUUAAAAAAUUUUUGACAGCAAGCCCUAUCUAAUUUUAUAGUUGACAAAUGUGUGCUAUUAUCACAAAGGAGAAGUCAGAGAAAGAUGCUACAGACUGCGCCAAUUCAUUCAUACAAUUUUUCUGUAGUUCAAAAACCACAAUGUCUCACAUUGUCUAGCAGCUAGAAUUUUUUUAUUUAUUUAUUUUUUUUUUUAGUUUAAGAAAAGCAAAAGACCACAGUGAACUUAAAUGAACUCUUUAAACAAAUGAGUUGAAUAAUUCCAUCCACUUACACUAACACCCCAUCUGGUAGUAAGGCCUUUAGACUCCAAAGACAAUCUAGAGGCAAAGUGGAAGCUAUUGUUGGCUGAGCCUCAGUCACUCAUACUUCAUAAUGAAAUAGAUAGUUUUAAAAGUUAACAGGAUGAUUCUGGUCACUGCCAUUAGUUUGUACAUGGGUUUUGGGUCUUUUUCACACACAAAGGAUUCCCAGAAAUGUCUAAGUUUUGUUCUCUUUAUCAUUUUUUAUUGCGUCUAUUUGAUUCUUCUCUCUUUUCUUCUUUAUUAGUCUUGCUAGCGCUCUAUCAAUUUUGUUGAUCCUUUCAAAAAACCAGCUCCUGGAUUCAUUAAUUUUUUGAAGGGUUUUUUGUGUCUCUAUUUCCUUCAGUUCUGCUCUGAUUUUAGUUAUUUCUUGCCUUCUGCUAGCUUUUGAAUGUGUUUGCUCUUGCUUUUCUAGUUCUUUUAAUUGUGAUGUUAGGGUGUCAAUUUUAGAUCUUUCCUGCUUUCUCCUGUGGGCAUUUAGUGCUAUAAAUUUCCCUCUGCACACUGCUUUGAAUGUGUCCCAGAGAUUCUGGUAUGCUGUGUCUUUGUUCUUGUUGGUUUCAAAGAACAUCUUUAUUUCUGCCUUCAUUUCGUUAUGUACCCAGUAGUCAUUCAGGAGCAGGUUGUUCAGUUUCCAUGUAGUUGAGCGGUUUUGAGUGAGUUUCUUAAUCCUGAGUUCUAGUUUGAUUGCACUGUGGUCUGAGAGACAGUUUGUUAUAAUUUCUGUUCUUUUACAUUUGCUGAGGAGAGCUUUACUUCCAACUAUGUGGUCAAUUUUGGAAUAGGUGUGGUGUGGUGCUGAAAAAAAUGUAUAUUCUGUUGAUUUGGGGUGGAAAGUUCUGUAGAUGUCUAUUAGGUCUGCUUGGUGCAGAGCUGAGUUCAAUUCCUGGGUAUCCUUGUUAACUUUCUGUCUUGUUGAUCUGUCUAAUGUUGACAGUGGGGUGUUAAAGUCUCCCAUUAUUAUUGUGUGGGAGUCUAAGUCUCUUUGUAGGUCACUCAGGACUUGCUUUAUGAAUCUGGGUGCUCCUGUAUUGGGUGCAUAUAUAUUUAGGAGAGUUAGCUCUUCCUGUUGAAUUGAUCCCUUUACCAUUAUGUAAUGGCCUUCUUUGUCUCUUUUGAUCUUUGUUGGUUUAAAGUCUGUUUUUUGAGAGACUAGGAUUGCAACCCCUGCCUUUUUUUGUUUUCCAUUUGCUUGGUAGAUCUUCCUCCAUCCUUUUAUUUUGAGCCUGUGUGUGUCUCUGCACGUGGGAUGGGUUUCCUGAAUACAGCACACUGAUGGGUCUUGACUCUUUAUCCAAUUUGCCAGUCUGUGUCUUUUAAUUGGAGCAUUUAGUCCAUUUACAUUUAAAGUUAAUAUUGUUAUGUGUGAAUUUGAUCCCGUCAUUAUGAUGUUAACUGGUUAUUUUGCUCGUUAGUGGAUGCAGUUUCUUCCUAGCCUCGAUGGUCUUUACAAUUUGGCAUGAUUUUGCAGUGGCUAGUACCAGUUGUUCCUUUCCAUGUUUAGUGCUUCCUUCAGGAGCUCUUUUAGGGCAGGCCUGGUGGUGACAAAAUCUCUCAGCAUUUGCUUGUCUGUAAAGUAUUUUAUUUCUCCUUCACUUAUGAAGCUUAGUUUGGCUGGAUAUGAAAUUCUGGGUUGAAAAUUCUUUCCUUUAAGAAUGUUGAAUAUUGGCCCCCACUCUCCUCUGGCUUGUAGAAUUUCUGCCGAGAGAUCCGCUGUUAGUGUGAUGGGCUUCCCUUUGUGGGUAACCCGACCUUUCUCUCUGGGUGCCUUUAACAUUUUUUCCUUCAUUUCAACUUUGAUGAAUCUGACAAUUACGUGUCUUGGAGUUGUUUUUCUCGAGGAGUAUCUUUGUGGCGUUCUCUGUUUUUCCUGAAUUUGAAUGUUGACCUGCCUCGCUAGGUUGGGGAAGUUCUCCUGGAUAAUAUCCUGAAGAGUGUUUUCCAACUUGGUUCCAUUCUCCCUUUCACUUUCAGGUACACCAAUCAGACGUAGAUUUGGUCUUUUCACAUAGUCCCAUAUUUCUUGGAGGCUUUGUUCAUUUCUUUUUACUCUUUUUUCUCUAAACUUCUCUUCUCGCUUCAUUUCAGCUUCAUCACUGAUAUCCUUUCUUCCAGUUGAUUGAAUCGGCUACUGAAGCUUGUGCAUUCAUCAUGUAGUUCUCAUGCCAUGAUUUUCGGCUCCAUCAGGCCAUUUUAGGACUUCUCUACACUGGUUAUUCUAGUUAGCCAUUCGUCUAAUCUUUUUUCAAGGUUUUUAGCUUCUUUGAGUUGGGUUCGAACUUCCUCCUUUAGCUUGGAGAAGUUUGAUCGUCUGAAUCCUUCUUCUCUCAACUUGUCAAAGUCAUUCUCUGUCCAGCUUUGUACCGUUGCUAGCGAGGAGCUGCGUUCCUUUGGAGGGGGAGAGGUGCUCUGAUUUUUAGAAUUUUCAGCUUUUCUGCUUGUUAUUUCCCCAUCUUUGUGGUUUUAUCUACCUUUGGUCUUUGAUGAUGGUGACUUACAGAUGGCGUUUUGGUGUGGAUGUCCUUUCUGUUUGUUAGUUUUCCUUCUAACUGUCAGGACCCUCAGCUGCAGGUCUGUUGGAGUUUGCUGGAGGUCCACUCCAGACGCUGUUUGCCUGGGCAUCAGCAUUGGAGGCUGCAAACAGCGAAUAUUGCUGAACAGCAAAUGUUGCUGCAUGAUCAUUCCUCUGGAAGCUUCGUCUCAGAGGGGUACCCACUGUGUGAGGUGUCAGUCUGACCCUGCUGGGGGGUGCCUCCCAGUUAGGCUGCUCCUGGGUCAGGGACCUACUUGAGGAGGCAGUCUGUCCUUUCUCAAAUCUCAAACUCCAUACUGGGAGAACCACUACUCUCUUCAAAGCUCAGUUGGAAAUGCAGAAAUCACCCGUCUUCUGCGUCGCUCACGCUGGGAGCUGUAGACUGGAGGUGUUCCUAUUCGGCCAUCUUGGAACCCCCAUCACCCCACAAUUUCUUUAUGUAUUUGUUGAUUGAUGGGCAUUUGGGCUGGUUCCGUAUUUUUGCAAUUGCGAAUUGUGCUGCUAUAAACAUGCAUGUGCAGGUAUCUUUUUUGUAUAAUGACCUCUUUUCCUCUGGGUAGAUAUCCAAGAGUGGGAGGUAGAUACCCAAGAGUGGGAUUGCUGGAUCAAAUGGAAUUUCUACUGUUAAUUCUUUAAGGAAUCUUCACAUUAGUGGUUGUACUAGUUUACAUUCCCACCAGCAGUGUAGAAGUGUUCCUUUUUUACCGCAUCCACACCAACAUCUAUUAUUUUUUGAUUUUUUGAUUAUGGCCAUUCUUGCAGGAGUAAGGUGGUAUUGCAUUGUGGUUUUGAUUUGCAUUUCCCUGAUCAUUAGUGAUGUUGAGCAUUUUUUCAUGUUUGUUGGCCAUUUAUGUACCUUCUUUUGAGAAUUGUCUAUUCAUGUCCUUAGCCCACUUUUUGAUGGGAUUAUUUAUUUUUUUCUUGCCAACUUGUUUGAGUUCCUUGUAGAUUCUGGAUAUCAGUCCUUUGUCAGUUGUAUAAAUUGUGAAGAUUUUCUCCCACUCUGUGCGUUGUCUGUUUACUCUGCUGACUGUUCCUUUUGCUGGGCAGAAGCUCUUUAGUGUAGUUAAGUCCCACCUAUUUAUCUUUGGUUUUAUUGCAUAUGCUUUUGGUUUCUUGGUCAUGAAGUCUUUGUCUAAGCCAAUGUCUAGAAGGGUUUUUUUGAUGUUAUCUUCUGGAAUUUUUUGGAUGAAACAUUUUAAAAAGCCAUGCAACAGAAUGCGUUUCUAGAGGAUGCAUUUCUUGGUCCCUCAACUGCUUCAUGUCUUUUCUCACCUAAAAAGUAAUAAUAAUAAAAAUACAGCGUACAGUACAAGGCUCAACAUUGUAGGUAGAGACUGAAAGCCUGCCAUUGUUAAUGUUGUUUGCAACCAGCGUAGGUGUUCUGAUGAUGCUACCAUGCUGCUUACUUACCAUGAACACAUUAUUUUUUAUUGUAUUAAUGAUAUGUCAUAUUUUUUCCUGUUGAGUAUUUAUAUGUGAAUAAGUAUAAGAAAAUGAUUGCUGUGCUUGCUUUGGAAGCACAUAUAUUAAAAUUGGAAUGAUACAGAGAAGAUUAGCAUGGCUUCUGCACAAGGAUAAGUUUUAUUUAAAAGAUGUAAAAUUUUUUAAAAAAGAAAAUGUUUGCUUAUUGGUAGCAUAUAAAGACAGGAAUGAUGGUGAUGCUUAACAACCACAGAUUGUCCUCAUGGGUGGCAGAGAUAGUGAUACCUUCGCUUUCUGAUCAUUAAAUGUACACAGUCUUUGUUUCAUGCACAAAAUUAUUAAAAAUAUUGUAUAAAAUUACUUUUAGGUGAUGUAUAUAAGUUAUAUAUGGAACAUAAAUGAAUUUCUUGUUUAGACUUGGGUCUUACUUAUUAUGAUUUGUGUACAGUGCCUGGCAAAUUGUGUAGCUUCUAGUAGGUAUUCUGUAAAUCUUGGUUCCUCUUUUUAUUUAUCUGUUGUCUUCAGCACUCGUUUCAGUGAAGACAUAGUAGAAUUCAUCAAUGUGUGUUGAAUUGAAUAUCAAGCUAUAAUAUACUAUCAAAUGGGAACAUUUAAUGAGCUGUACUACCUACAGAUUUAGUAAAUUGUUGUUUGAACUUUAGUUCUUUUAAAAGAAGCUAUUUCAGCAACAGCUGCUUAAAUAGUCUAUAGGUAGUCUUUUCUUUUAGUCUGUAAUACAAUAAGAAUCUCCUAGAAGGAUAAAUCAAAUUGGUUCCAUGAAACCAUAAAAUUAUUGUGUGAUAAUUUAUAGGAAACCUCCUUUAACAACAUGUUUUAAAAGUUUUUGUUACUCUAAAUCGAUAUGUAUAUAUAUAAAUAAGCAUUAUUCAGCUUCUUGGUUUGACACUUGGAUUUUUAAGGAAAAGAUCUGCGUAUCCAUGUGCAUCUCCAAAAUAUUUAUUUAGGUACUUGUAAUUACUUUAAAAAUCCUCUUUGUUUGUGUUUCAUCUGUAGGUAUUAUAGCUAUUCACUGUUGAGAAUUUAGAGGUACUUAUACCAUUUUUUACAAAAUGAAUGUCCCAUAAUUCUAGCAUUCUGUUUUAUAUGACCAAGUGCUCAUUUCACUCUGUUUAGAGAUCAUGAAGGAAUCAUAGUCAAGAACUCCUGAAUUUUAAAAUAGUAUUUAGUAAUGACAAAUGUUGAUAUAAAUGUAUUAUGAAAUCUUUAUGUCUAAGAAAAAUAAUAUUAAACAGCUAAUAUUAAAAAUUUUGUUGGCUAAAUAACAUUUCAAGAGAUGGAUGUAUUGCAUUGAUAAUUAGCACGAUAUUUGAAUUACAAAAAACUCUUCAAUUUAAUGCGUAUGGUCCAUUUUCACUUGUGUUCUAUAAAAACCUAAAGGUUCUUAAGCCAAAUGAUUUCUGUUUAGAAUUCUGUUUAGAAUACAUUUCUCAGAGCAUAUAGUUUUGGAUGAUAUAUAUAUCCUUGUAAAGGCUGAUUUUUUAAAAAGUUCAUCCUUUAAAAAAUUAAGUCUGUAAGACUUAAAGGCAUUGGUAUUCUACUUUAACUUUGUUGAUGAGUGGAAAUCUUUUAAUCAAGAAUAUUACAAGUGGGUCUUUACAUCUCUCAUUGUCAUUAAUGAACUAAAAGGUGCAUACUUGUUAAACUACAUCUCAGAGCCUUAUACAUCCAUAAAAAAGAUGUUAUUCUACAAGUAGGACCAAAGUGUUACCUUAACAUAGAUGAACUUUCAUUAGUGUAGUAUCUUAGUUUUAAUUCUAUAACAUUGUGCUCUUUAAUAAUCACUAAUUAUAUGUAUGGCUUUUUUCCCAAUAAAAUUUUUAAAGG